CGAGCUGAUCCCCUUCGGGGGUGACGCUCGUGGAAUGAGCGGCGGACGGGUGAGUAACACGUGGGCAACCUGCCUGUAAGAUCGGAAUAACUCCGGGAAACCGGGGCUAAUGCCGGGUAAUCCUUUUUCUCGCAUGAGAGAAGGGUAAAAGAUGGCUUCUCGCUAUCACUUACAGAUGGGCCCGCGGCGCAUUAGCUAGUUGGUGAGGUAACGGYUCACCAAGGSAACGAUGCGUAGCCGACCUGAGAGGGUGAUCGGCCACACUGGGACUGAGACACGGCCCAGAYUCCUACGGGAGGCAGCAGUAGGGAAUCUUCCGCAAUGGACGAAAGUCUGACGGAGCAACGCCGCGUGAACGAUGAAGGUCUUCGGAUCGUAAAGUUCUGUUGUUAGGGAAGAACAAGUACCGUUCGAACAGGGCGGUACCUUGACGGUACCUAACGAGGAAGCCCCGGCUAACUACGUGCCAGCAGCCGCGGUAAUACGUAGGGGGCAAGCGUUGUCCGGAAUUAUUGGGCGUAAAGCGCGCGCAGGCGGUUCCUUAAGUCUGAUGUGAAAGCCCACGGCUCAACCGUGGAGGGUCAUUGGAAACUGGGGAACUUGAGGACAGAAGAGGAGAGUGGAAUUCCACGUGUAGCGGUGAAAUGCGUAGAUAUGUGGAGGAACACCAGUGGCGAAGGCGACUCUCUGGUCUGUUUCUGACGCUGAGGUGCGAAAGCGUGGGUAGCAAACAGGAUUAGAUACCCUGGUAGUCCACGCCGUAAACGAUGAGUGCUAGGUGUUAGGGGGCUUCCACCCCUUAGUGCUGAAGUUAACGCAUUAAGCACUCCGCCUGGGGAGUACGGCCGCAAGGCUGAAACUCAAAGGAAUUGACGGGGGCCCGCACAAGCGGUGGAGCAUGUGGUUUAAUUCGAAGCAACGCGAAGAACCUUACCAGGUCUUGACAUCCUUGGAUCGCCCUAGAGAUAGGGUUUUCCCUUCGGGGACCAAGUGACAGGUGGUGCAUGGUUGUCGUCAGCUCGUGUCGUGAGAUGUUGGGUUAAGUCCCGCAACGAGCGCAACCCCUAAUCUUAGUUGCCAGCAUUCAGUUGGGCACUCUAAGGUGACUGCCGGUGACAAACCGGAGGAAGGCGGGGAUGACGUCAAAUCAUCAUGCCCCUUAUGACCUGGGCUACACACGUGCUACAAUGGAUGGUACAAAGGGCAGCGAAGCC
RNAcentral lists this ribosomal RNA (1214 nucleotides) under Halobacillus virgiliensis. RNAcentral's name for it is "bacterial SSU rRNA". It matches the Rfam family "Bacterial small subunit ribosomal RNA", at positions 63 to 1256 of the family's 1533-position model. Lineage: Bacteria; Bacillati; Bacillota; Bacilli; Caryophanales; Bacillaceae. The record is from RNAcentral.